RNAcentral lists this ribosomal RNA (434 nucleotides) under uncultured bacterium. RNAcentral describes it as "partial 16S ribosomal RNA". It matches the Rfam family "Bacterial small subunit ribosomal RNA", at positions 341 to 792 of the family's 1533-position model. The record is from RNAcentral.
ACGGGAGGCAGCAGUGGGGGAUAUUGCACAAUGGGGGAAACCCCGAUGCAGCGACGCCGCGUGAGUGAAGAAGUAUUUCGGUAUGUAAAGCUCUAUCAGCAGGGAAGAAAAUGACGGUACCUGACUAAGAAGCUCCGGCUAAAUACGUGCCAGCAGCCGCGGUAAUACGUAUGGAGCAAGCGUUAUCCGGAUUUACUGGGUGUAAAGGGAGCGUAGACGGCGAGGCAAGUCUGAUGUGAAAGCCAUGGGCUCAACCCAUGAACUGCAUUGGAAACUGUCUUGCUAGAGUGUCGGAGAGGUAAGCGGAAUUCCUAGUGUAGCGGUGAAAUGCGUAGAUAUUAGGAGGAACACCAGUGGCGAAGGCGGCUUACUGGACGAUAACUGACGUUGAGGCUCGAAAGCGUGGGGAGCAAACAGGAUUAGAUACCCUGGUA